GUGCAAGGUCAAGGGUCUGCUUUUGGUCAAUGACUGCUGUCUGACAGAGUCCCGAGCGACAUGGAUGGCACUGAAGUAUCCAAAUUCAUUACAAUGGUGCAUGGAAAACCAGAUUUGCAAGUUUUGGAGGAGGUUGAAAGUGAAUCAUCAGGUGACUCAUGCAUUGAUGAUGAUGAUGAUGAUGAUAAUUGAUGUUGGCCGUGUGAGCCAAAGUUCCUGUGAUGCUGAAAUGGAGCAAGAAUUGACUGAUAUAGACACAAGGAAUAAAGACCUCCCUGAUUCAGAUGAUGAAGAAAACAGCAAUCUUAGUACAUGUAUGACUAGUCCAAAUGGUACAAAAUGGUCAUGAAACCAAAUGAAAUGAUCCAAUGUUAGAACUAGGUCCAAAAAUAUAGUGAGGAUCUUGGCAGGGUGAAUCCAAUUGGAUGGAAUGUCAGCACUACCAUUCAAUGUUGGAAAUUAUUUGUAAGAGAAAAAAUGCUACAAGAUGUUGUGAAAUUCACAAAUGAUGAAAUACAAGUAAAAAGUUCUUUAUGCAUUGAUAACCAUACUAAAAAAUGUGUUUAUUGUGACCUCUUACUAGCUGAACUGAAAGCAUUCUCUUACUUUCUGAACUGAAAGCAUUCAUAGGUCUGCUGUACUUAGCAGGGCUUUCUCAUGAUAAUUGCAGGAAUUUAAAAGCUUUAUGGAGAAGUGAUGAGUGU
RNAcentral lists this long non-coding RNA (704 nucleotides) under Heterocephalus glaber (naked mole-rat). Its description in RNAcentral is "lncRNA (ENSHGLG00100041131.1)". Lineage: Eukaryota; Metazoa; Chordata; Mammalia; Rodentia; Bathyergidae. The record is from RNAcentral.